This 501-nucleotide ribosomal RNA is filed under the name uncultured bacterium. Its description in RNAcentral is "partial 16S ribosomal RNA". It matches the Rfam family "Bacterial small subunit ribosomal RNA", at positions 30 to 523 of the family's 1533-position model. The record is from RNAcentral.
AUUGAACGCUAGCGGCAUGCCUUACACAUGCAAGUCGAACGGCAGCACGGGUGCUUGCACCUGGUGGCGAGUGGCGAACGGGUGAGUAAUACAUCGGAACGUACCUUAUCGUGGGGGAUAACGCAGCGAAAGUUGCGCUAAUACCGCAUACGCCCUGAGGGGGAAAGCGGGGGACCGUAAGGCCUCGCGCGAUUAGAGCGGCCGAUGUCUGAUUAGCUUGUUGGUGAGGUAAAAGCUCAACAAGGCGAUGAUCAGUAGCUGGUCUGAGAGGACUAUCAGCGACACUGGGACUGAGACACGGCCCCGACUCCUACGGGAGGCAGCAGUGGGGAAUUUUGGACAAUGGGGGCAACCCUGAUCCAGCAAUGCCGCGUGAGUGAAGAAGGCCUUCGGGUUGUAAAGCUCUUUUGUCAGGGAAGAAACAGCAGCUCUAACACAGUCUGCGAAUGACGGUACCUGAAGAAUAAGCACCGGCUAACUACGUGCCAGCCGCCGCGGUAA